GGGAGAGAUGAGAUGGACGACUGAGCAAAAACACACCCCGGGACUGUUUUCUCCGUAACAGAUGGGCGCUGGGGACGGCAUGGAAAUUCCAGGAUGGAGCGACAUCCCAGUCCCUUGUGAUGCUCCCUCGCGCCUCUGACCUUUGUGCCGGAUCAAGUAGUGACCGAGGAAGAUGAGCAGGAUGAGCAGCAAGAAGACGAUGAAAGCCACGAUCCCCCCGAUGAUGGCGUGAUUGGAAAGGAGCAGUGAAAAAAUGCUGGAGACAGGAAUAGGCACGUGAACUGUGCAUAGAUGGUGGACUGCGAUUCCCUGUAUAAAGAAAAGUGUUCCUUCUUGUCAGGGAGCUUAGAGUUCCAGCAAGACCCAAUCUUCCUUUCACCAGAGAGGUCUGGGGUUCCAUCUUCACUUCCCCACCAGCCAAAGGUUUGUGGGAAGGACAAAGACUGAAUUUCUUCCUCCCAGUUCUGAUGGCCUCUGUCAUCAGAUACAGAGACUCUGUCCUCCACAGCAGUGUCUAUAGGGGACAGAUUCCCAAGCACAGGCUUGGCCAGGCAUGCCGAGGAGAGCCGCAGUCACAGUCAGAGUCCCACAGAUCUGAAGAGACAGUGCCCAUGCCUGGGACACAGUUCUGACAUGUCCAAAAUUAUACGAGCUGCAGUUAAGGCUCUCCCACCCAUGGGAGAGCUACUAUUUUUUUUUUUUUUAAAUAGAAUCAG
This is a long non-coding RNA of Cervus elaphus (red deer), 716 nucleotides long. RefSeq lists it as uncharacterized. The record is from RefSeq and is a predicted model, not a curated record. The transcript has 3 exons. Lineage: Eukaryota; Metazoa; Chordata; Mammalia; Artiodactyla; Cervidae.